RNAcentral lists this unclassified non-coding RNA (267 nucleotides) under fungal sp. Its description in RNAcentral is "partial contains small subunit ribosomal RNA, internal transcribed spacer 1, and 5.8S ribosomal RNA". The stretch from base 1 to 47 matches the Rfam family "Eukaryotic small subunit ribosomal RNA", at positions 1785 to 1831 of the family's 1831-position model. Lineage: Eukaryota; Fungi. The record is from RNAcentral.
AAAGUCGUAACAAGGUUUCCGUAGGUGAACCUGCGGAAGGAUCAUUAAUUUCGGUAGGCAACUACCGUUUGAGGGCAGUAGAAACUCUUUGGGGUCGCCCCUAAAGGGAAGUAUGCUGCUUUUCUUAACCCUUUGACUUUUUGCAAACCCAAGUUUCCUCGGCAGGCUUGCCUGCCGGCUGGACAAUUUAUAAACCUUUUUAAUUCUCAAUCAGCGUCUGAAUAAUUAUAAUAAUUACAACUUUCAACAACGGAUCUCUUGGUUCUG